CGCCGGGGCUCCGCAGCCCUCAGGCUUCUGGGGAGAACUGGGGAGACCCCGCUGCGGCGUGCGCCGCCGUCUCCCGCCCCCCACCUUCCAGGGCUCGGCGCCACACCCCCUUGCCGCAGGGCAGAGAGGGCACCUCCGGUGAACCCAGUGCCUCCUUCCCCAAUCCUCUUCCCAUCUCUAAGGUUGACUCGUGCCCUGCACGUGAGCUUGAGGUUGCACCCUUUCCCUCCUUGCCUUGGCAGACCUCUGGCCUGCGAAGCUAGAGUCUGGCUCCUCCCGUAUUUUCUUUGCCCGGCACAGAAAGGAUGUCGCUUCCCACCACUCCCCUACAAUUUGUUUGCAUUAACUCUCCAUCUGCUUCCGAGCCUACUUUGCGCUCUUAACUAUGCAUAUCUGGUGCCAAAACAGCGCUCUAAUCAGAGAAUGAAUCCUAGCUGCGGUGAGCCUUCUUGUGGGAAUCCACUGACAUCAUGUAGAAAGUUCGGGAAACUUUGUAACAGAAAUGUCAACCUGUGGAGGCAUCUGUGGAGCACGGUUCCUAGUCUCACGGGGUCUCUCUGUAUAACAGCCCUGGCUGGCCUGGAACCCAUUUUGAAUCAAGACUAGCCUCAAAUUCACGGAGAUCUGCCUGCCUCUGCCUCCUGAGUGCUAGGAUUAAAGGGGUGCACCACCACACCAGAAGGGCCCAGGCCAGGUGCCACCCCUGGGCAGAUGGUCCUGGAUGAUUUAAGAAAACCAGCUGCCCAAGCCAUGGAGAAGAAGCCAGCAAGCUAUACUCUUCCAUGGCCCCAGCCUCAGUUCCUGCCUCCAGGUUCCUGCUUUGAGACCCUGCCCUGACU
Long non-coding RNA from Meriones unguiculatus (Mongolian gerbil), 839 nucleotides. RefSeq lists it as uncharacterized. The record is from RefSeq and is a predicted model, not a curated record. The transcript is spliced from 3 exons. Lineage: Eukaryota; Metazoa; Chordata; Mammalia; Rodentia; Muridae.